GUGGGGAAUAUUGGACAAUGGGCGAAAGCCUGAUCCAGCAAUGCCGCGUGAGUGAAGAAGGCCUUAGGGUUGUAAAGCUCUUUUACCCGGGAUGAUAAUGACAGUACCGGGAGAAUAAGCUCCGGCUAACUCCGUGCCAGCAGCCGCGGUAAUACGGAGGGAGCUAGCGUUGUUCGGAAUCACUGGGCGUAAAGCGCACGUAGGCGGCUUUGUAAGUUAGAGGUGAAAGCCCGGGGCUCAACUCCGGAACUGCCUUUAAGACUGCAUCGCUUGAAUCUGGGAGAGGUAAGUGGAAUUCCGAGUGUAGAGGUGAAAUUCGUAGAUAUUCGGAAGAACACCAGUGGCGAAGGCGGCUUACUGGACCAGAAUUGACGCUGAGGUGCGAAAGCGUGGGGAGCAAACAGGAUUAGAAACCCUAGUAGUCC
RNAcentral lists this ribosomal RNA (425 nucleotides) under uncultured bacterium. Its description in RNAcentral is "partial 16S ribosomal RNA". It matches the Rfam family "Bacterial small subunit ribosomal RNA", at positions 354 to 796 of the family's 1533-position model. The record is from RNAcentral.